Molecule: ribosomal RNA, 301 nt
Filed under: uncultured bacterium
Lineage: Bacteria
Description: partial 16S ribosomal RNA
Rfam family: Bacterial small subunit ribosomal RNA
Source: RNAcentral
CAGCAGCCGCGGUAAUACGUAGGUGGCAAGCGUUAUCCGGAAUUAUUGGGCGUAAAGCGCGCGUAGGCGGUUUUUUAAGUCUGAUGUGAAAGCCCACGGCUCAACCGUGGAGGGUCAUUGGAAACUGGAAAACUUGAGUGCAGAAGAGGAAAGUGGAAUUCCAUGUGUAGCGGUGAAAUGCGCAGAGAUAUGGAGGAACACCAGUGGCGAAGGCGACUUUCUGGUCUGUAACUGACGCUGAUGUGCGAAAGCGUGGGGAGCAAACAGGAUUAGAUACCCCCGUAGUCCCUGUCUCUUAUAC